CAAUAGCGUAUAUUAAUGUUGUUGCAGUUAAAAAGCUCGUAGUCGAAUUUCUCUCCAGCCGGUCUGGGACUUUCAUUAGUCUUCAGAUUGUCUGGGGAUCCUUGCGCAGAGCCAUGAAGUAAUUCAUGGGGAUGCGCAUCGUUUACUGUGAAUAAAUUAGAGUGUUUCACGCAGGCAUUUGCAUAAAUACAACGCAUGGAAUAAUAAGAUACGACUUGGGCGUCUCUUGUUGGUUUUGCACCGAAGUAAUGAUUAAAAGGAGCAGUUGGGGCUAUCCGUAUUGGGUUGUCAGAGGUGAAAUUCUUAGAUUUACUCAAGACGAACUACUGCGAAAGCAUUUAGCAAAAAUGUUUUCAUUGAUCAAGAACGAAAGUUUGGGGAUCGAAGAUGAUUAGAUACCAU
RNAcentral lists this ribosomal RNA (402 nucleotides) under uncultured eukaryote. Its description in RNAcentral is "bacterial SSU rRNA". It matches the Rfam family "Eukaryotic small subunit ribosomal RNA", at positions 592 to 1018 of the family's 1831-position model. The record is from RNAcentral.